GUUGAUUUGAGAUGCAGAUUGUUCGGCGGCUCUCCGUUACUGUAUCCAAACAAGUAGUUGGAGAUGCUGCCAGUUCAGUUCGUGGAUCGAAGACUCAGUGCCGGUGGAGGUCGUUUGCGGCCACUGUUCCGUCUAAUUCAGCGGCAGAUAGAAGGAAACAGAAAAAAGUAUCAACGGAAGAAAGGAUAGCAAUGGUGCAAGAUUUUGUUAACAAAUAUAGAGCCAUGAAUGGUGGAAAAUUUCCACCUGCUUAUGCGGCAAUGAAAGAAGUUGGUGGUGGGUAUUACAACGUCAAGAAGAUUGUCCAAGAAAUGCAAUACAAUGCUAAAAUGCCAGUAGAUAAAGACUCUGUGGUUAAAGAAGUUUCCGCUAGAAAAGCUGCAAUUAGGAAGGAUAAGAGCAACGAGGUAAAGCUGCAAUUAAGCAGUGCAACAUGUCUCGAACAUGAAUGUGAGGAUACUAGUAGCAUCGGUGAGGCAGAGGCAAAGCUACAAACUCCAAUUGCAGCAGAGCAGAUGUUGUUGCAUGAGAUAUCAAGAGUUUCUGGAAGUGAUAAUAAAGAUGCUGCUGCACAAGUUCUUGGUGCGGAGGUAAAAUCUAUUUCACAUUCCGAGGAACCUUUACCUGAGAAUAACAUAAAACAGAAAGACUCCCCUAUGGAAGAUUUCAAUUUUGAUGGCCGAAAGCAGAUGGAUGAGCAAAGACAUUCACCUGAACCCGAAAAGCGUACAAGGAAAUUAUCGAAUGAGCGCAAGGCUGAUAUACAAGCUGAAAGCAAACCAUCCCUGUGGAAAAAUAUGAAAUCUUUUGCAGAUGGAAUCCUCAACAUGUGGUGGAAACAGUAAAUUAGCCCCCAGGUGGUCUCUAGUUUAUGAAUUUUUCCAUUUAGAUAUGAUACUGUUUUUAUCAUCUCCUACUGUAGCUAAGAGUUCUGUAUUGAUGGCUUCCUCCAAAGUGGACUUUUGUGGUUCUGCAGCGUUAUCGAAAAACAAGGAGAUGGACUGUAUUUGUGUCAACAUGAGAGAUCUUGUUAGUAUAAUGUUAUGCAGGCAUGUCUGUGCAAUGAAUAAACGAUCACUAGUGAGAGAACUUGGUGAUGAAGCAUUAUUGUUUUGAAGCAGUUCUAUUCUCUUUACAAGAUAGGUAGGAGAGAAUUGGUGUAUUAGAUGAG
RNAcentral lists this unclassified non-coding RNA (1171 nucleotides) under Hevea brasiliensis (rubber tree). Lineage: Eukaryota; Viridiplantae; Streptophyta; Magnoliopsida; Malpighiales; Euphorbiaceae. The record is from RNAcentral.